This is a long non-coding RNA of Emys orbicularis (European pond turtle), 633 nucleotides long. RefSeq lists it as uncharacterized. NCBI's taxonomy places the organism in Eukaryota, Metazoa, Chordata, Testudines, Emydidae. The transcript is spliced from 5 exons. The record is from RefSeq and is a predicted model, not a curated record.
UCCUGUUAUACACCAAGCACCUGCAUUGGUUCCUCAAAAAAUUACAGGAUAGGACAAGGAUAAGAAGCAGUCAGUGGGCUGAACCAGCUGUGACAGAAUGGCCUUUUUACUAACAGCAGCCAUGGUUUUCCAGACUUUACUGGGAAAUGCUGCUGGAGAAGGAUGGGAAUCAUAUAACAAUUUUUCCUUUUGGAACUACACAUUUUAUUUCUACGACAAUUACACAGAUGAUUAUCCUCCAGAAAACUCCACAGAUUAUUAUUCUACAGAAUACCCCACAGAUUAUUAUUCUCCAGAAUACCCCACAGAUUAUUAUGGUGAAUUCGAAACUUCAUUUGGAAAGGAUUUGACAGAGUCUGCAGGAUCAUCACUCCAGGGCCAUCUUCCCUUCUUAUUUGUCCUUCUCCAUCUUCUAUGUUUUUUGCUACAACAAUUCACAUUUCUUUUGUAGAAGAUGUGAACAGCUUUGCUUUGAAUUAGAACAUUCCUCAAGGAGGAAAACAAAGAACUCUGCCACAUUUGUAAAUUACUUCCCCUACAGUGAAUCAGUCAUCUUUUUUUUUAUUGCAGUUUAUGUAUUUAUGUAGAAACACAAAAAUAUAAAAUAAAUGUAACAGCUAUGUUUCCUCACAA